RNAcentral lists this ribosomal RNA (625 nucleotides) under Microbacterium sp. So1Pt_9. RNAcentral describes it as "bacterial SSU rRNA". It matches the Rfam family "Bacterial small subunit ribosomal RNA", at positions 387 to 1022 of the family's 1533-position model. The record is from RNAcentral. Lineage: Bacteria; Bacillati; Actinomycetota; Actinomycetes; Micrococcales; Microbacteriaceae.
UGCAGCACGCCGCGUGAGGGACGACGGCCUACGGGUUGUAAACCUCUUUUAGCAGGGAAGAAGCGAAAGUGACGGUACCUGCAGAAAAAGCACCGGCUAACUACGUGCCAGCAGCCGCGGUAAUACGUAGGGUGCAAGCGUUAUCCGGAAUUAUUGGGCGUAAAGAGCUCGUAGGCGGUUUGUCGCGUCUGCUGUGAAAUCUGGGGGCUCAACCCCCAGCCUGCAGUGGGUACGGGCAGACUAGAGUGCGGUAGGGGAGAUUGGAAUUCCUGGUGUAGCGGUGGAAUGCGCAGAUAUCAGGAGGAACACCGAUGGCGAAGGCAGACCUCUGGGCCGUAACUGACGCUGAGGAGCGAAAGGGUGGGGAGCAAACAGGCUUAGAUACCCUGGUAGUCCACCCCGUAAACGUUGGGAACUAGUUGUGGGGUCCAUUCCACGGAUUCCGUGACGCAGCUAACGCAUUAAGUUCCCCGCCUGGGGAGUACGGCCGCAAGGCUAAAACUCAAAGGAAUUGACGGGGACCCGCACAAGCGGCGGAGCACGCGGAUUAAUUCGAUGCAACGCGAAGAACCUUACCAAGGCUUGACAUAUACGAGAACGCUGCAGAAAUGUAGAACUCUUUGGA